This 449-nucleotide ribosomal RNA is filed under the name uncultured bacterium. Its description in RNAcentral is "bacterial SSU rRNA". It matches the Rfam family "Bacterial small subunit ribosomal RNA", at positions 29 to 524 of the family's 1533-position model. The record is from RNAcentral.
AACGAACGCUGGCGGCAGGCCUAACACAUGCAAGUCGAACGCCGUAGCAAUACGGAGUGGCAGACGGGUGAGUAACACGUGGGAACAUACCCUUCGGUUCGGAAUAACUCAGGGAAACUUGAGCUAAUACCGGAUACGUCCGCGAGGAGAAAGAUUCAUCGCCGGAGGAUUGGCCCGCGUCUGAUUAGCUUGUUGGUGAGGUAACGGCUCACCAAGGCGACGAUCAGUAGCNGGUCUGAGAGGAUGAUCAGCCACAUUGGGACUGAGACACGGCCCAAACUCCUACGGGAGGCAGCAGUGGGGAAUAUUGGACAAUGGGCGCAAGCCUGAUCCAGCCAUGCCGCGUGAGUGAUGAAGGCCUAGGGUUGUAAAGCUCUUUUACCCGGGAAGAUAAUGACUGUACCGGGAGAAUAAGCCCCGGCUAACUUCGUGCCAGCAGCCGCGGUAAC